GCCAGACUCCUACGGGAGGCAGCAGUGGGGAAUAUUGCACAAUGGGGGGAACCCUGAUGCAGCGACGCCGCGUGGGCGAUGGAGUGCUUCGGCAUGUAAAGCCCUAUCAGCAGGGAAGAAAAUGACGGUACCUGACUAAAAAGCCCCGGCUAACUACGUGCCAGCAGCCGCGGUAAUACGUAGGGGGCAAGCGUUAUCCGGAUUUACUGGGUGUAAAGGGGGCGCAGACGGCAGCGCAAGCCAGGGGUGAAAGCCCGGGGCCCAACCCCGGGACUGCUCUUGGAACUGCGCGGCUGGAGUGCAGGAGGGGCAGGCGGAAUUCCUGGUGUAGCGGUGAAAUGCGUAGAUAUCAGGAGGAACACCGGUGGCGAAGGCGGCCUGCUGGACUGCGACUGACGUUGAGGCCCGAAAGCGUGGGGAGCAAACAGGAUUAGAUACCCUCGUA
Molecule: ribosomal RNA, 445 nt
Filed under: uncultured bacterium
Lineage: Bacteria
Description: bacterial SSU rRNA
Rfam family: Bacterial small subunit ribosomal RNA
Source: RNAcentral